This 851-nucleotide ribosomal RNA is filed under the name Bacillus sp. FJAT-17436. Its description in RNAcentral is "bacterial SSU rRNA". It matches the Rfam family "Bacterial small subunit ribosomal RNA", at positions 79 to 914 of the family's 1533-position model. The record is from RNAcentral. Lineage: Bacteria; Bacillati; Bacillota; Bacilli; Caryophanales; Bacillaceae.
CUUGCUUUUGAAGAUCAGCGGCGGACGGGUGAGUAACACGUGGGCAACCUGCCUGUAAGACUGGGAUAACUUCGGGAAACCGGAGCUAAUACCGGAUAAUCCUUUCCCUCACAUGAGGGAAAGCUGAAAGACGGUUUCGGCUGUCACUUACAGAUGGGCCCGCGGCGCAUUAGCUAGUUGGUGAGGUAACGGCUCACCAAGGCAACGAUGCGUAGCCGACCUGAGAGGGUGAUCGGCCACACUGGGACUGAGACACGGCCCAGACUCCUACGGGAGGCAGCAGUAGGGAAUCUUCCGCAAUGGACGAAAGUCUGACGGAGCAACGCCGCGUGAACGAUGAAGGCUUUCGGGUCGUAAAGUUCUGUUGUCAGGGAAGAACAAGUACCGGAGUAACUGCCGGUACCUUGACGGUACCUGACCAGAAAGCCACGGCUAACUACGUGCCAGCAGCCGCGGUAAUACGUAGGUGGCAAGCGUUGUCCGGAAUUAUUGGGCGUAAAGCGCGCGCAGGCGGUUCCUUAAGUCUGAUGUGAAAGCCCCCGGCUCAACCGGGGAGGGUCAUUGGAAACUGGGGAACUUGAGUGCAGAAGAGGAGAGCGGAAUUCCACGUGUAGCGGUGAAAUGCGUAGAGAUGUGGAGGAACACCAGUGGCGAAGGCGGCUCUCUGGUCUGUAACUGACGCUGAGGCGCGAAAGCGUGCGGAGCGAACAGGAUUAGAUACCCUGGUAGUCCACGCCGUAAACGAUGAGUGCUAAGUGUUAGAGGGUUUCCGCCCUUUAGUGCUGCAGCAAACGCAUUAAGCACUCCGCCUGGGGAGUACGGCCGCAAGGCUGAAACUCAAAGGAAUUGAC